AGCGCUUUCAGCAGCUAGCAACGCAUAGCGAAGAGGUGCUGGGAUCUCGUGAGGAGAGAGGGCUUUUCCCAGUGCCCGGACAGUGUGCUCAGUCUGCAGAGAUGCCAGCCAGACAACUUAACACCUGCCAGAAGGACAGAGGGGGCCUGAGGCUCCUUUUCCGGCUGCUUCCCAUCCUGUUCACUCUUGGCUACUGGUGCGGUGCGACGAUGUGGCUCAAGGAUGUGUUGUGGGUAAGCGCCUCUUGCUGUGGGGAAGUCAGCAUCUGCAAAGGCCAUGGCUCUGCCCUCCUGCCUUCCCUGAGAACAUGGGGCGCCUGGCCAGAAAUACCCAUCACCACUGGGGCGGUGUUGGGGGGAGGCACCUGUGCUCAUCCUCCAGUCUCCUCAGUGGCUUGAUGGGGUUCAGAGUGGGGCUCCUCCUCAGUGACCUCCACAGGGUGGCAGGCUGAAGAGGGGAGCACUGUGCCAGAAGGUGCCUUUGCUGCUUGCAUACCUCUUGGAGGGCUGUGGGGUUCAGAUGGAGACCCAAAAGCUUCUCUGCUGAACGUGGCUGGUUAGGGAACCCAACCUUUGGGUCAGGGUUUCUCCAAAGUGACUCAAAGCAGCAGGAUGUUCUUCCAGCUCUACCUAGGGUAGUCUCCUUUGGGAAGCCCUGGCAGUGAUCCUCACGCUUAUGCGGUAUGUUAAUUUUGCAGACGUCCAGGCCUCACGGAGCUGAGCAGGAACUACUGGGGUAAGAGUGCUUUCUUCCUAAGGGGCACACCCUGUGGAGCUGUCUCAGACGGCCUCGUGCUGCCUGCCCUUGCCUUGUGUCCAGGGAUCUUGAUCCUCCCUAUGGGUGGUGGAAGGGAGCCAUCUGUAAGCCGGAGGAAGGAAUGGGGCUGGGGGAUGUGGGGUGACCCAA
Long non-coding RNA from Pezoporus flaviventris, 906 nucleotides. RefSeq lists it as uncharacterized. NCBI's taxonomy places the organism in Eukaryota, Metazoa, Chordata, Aves, Psittaciformes, Psittacidae. The record is from RefSeq and is a predicted model, not a curated record. The transcript has 3 exons.